This 73-nucleotide transfer RNA is filed under the name Actinophytocola sp. RNAcentral describes it as "tRNA-Thr". It matches the Rfam family "tRNA". From Rfam's summary of the family: Transfer RNA (tRNA) molecules are approximately 80 nucleotides in length. Their secondary structure includes four short double-helical elements and three loops (D, anti-codon, and T loops). Further hydrogen bonds mediate the characteristic L-shaped molecular structure. tRNAs have two regions of fundamental functional importance: the anti-codon, which is responsible for specific mRNA codon recognition, and the 3' end, to which the tRNAs corresponding amino acid is attached (by aminoacyl-tRNA synthetases). tRNAs cope with the degeneracy of the genetic code in two manners: having more than one tRNA (with a specific anti-codon) for a particular amino acid; and 'wobble' base-pairing, i.e. permitting non-standard base-pairing at the 3rd anti-codon position. The record is from RNAcentral. RNAcentral also lists the same sequence under 1 other name. Lineage: Bacteria; Bacillati; Actinomycetota; Actinomycetes; Pseudonocardiales; Pseudonocardiaceae.
GCCGGCAUAGCUCAAUUGGCAGAGCAGCUACCUUGUAAGUAGCAGGUCAGGGGUUCGAGCCCCCUUGCCGGCU